UGUCUGCGCCCCGCCACCACGAAUCAAUAUUGUCCCUGUGUUGGUUCUGCCCCAGGCUGCAGCAAAGAAGGUGGGGCAGGAGGGAGUUAGGGACUGGAGUUCCAAGAGAUUUCAUGGGAACCAUGCUGGUGGGGGUGGGACCCAGCGAUCCCAGGAGCAGCCAGCGCGGAAAGCUGGCUGUGGGCAAUUCUCCAUUCCGUGGAAGACCACAGUGCCCCCUCAAGGUGUACCUGGCUGCUGCCCCAGAGUCGCUGCCAGGUACAGGGGCUCGGGCUCCAAGAUGAGCAGCUAAGAAGGAGAGGCCUGCUCCAUGGGCAAGAAAGGGUUUUCUCCUCUUACUCCUGAGAGUAACCCAGGCCAACCCAUGGGGAGGCAGAUGGAUGCCUGUCCCGGCACAGGCAUCCUCAGAGUCUCUCUGUCCCCAGGUUCUCCACUGCAGCCUGCUCCACAGCCACGCCCUCCCAUCCAUGGCUACACACUCACAUUCUGGGCCUCUUCCCUGGACCAGAUUGCACAGCAGGGCCGCUCUCUCCAGUGCCUCCAGCUGGCCCCUGCUGACAAGUCCGUGUUGUGUCAUGUUGGGAGUCUGGGCAAGGCACGAGGGCCCCUCUCUAGCAGGUCCCGAUGGCUCCUCCACACCUUCAGGAAAAGCAAGAGAUAAACCAUUGCAUGCUGAGCUCUGCAGGGAACUGGAGGCGGACACCAUCCAUUCUGCAAACCUGCAAUGGUGACACUUCUGGAAUCUCCUUGCCUCUUCCAGGGCUGCAGCCUCUAAGGCAGGGCCCAAAGCAGGAUGGAGAUAAAGAUGCCCAGAAGAAACCAAAGCCUUCUUGGGGGAAACUGUAAGAAGUCAGGAGGGAAUUCUUUAUUAGAAAUUGAAGAUCCCGCUGGGCGUGGUGGCUCAUGCCUGUAAUCCCAGCACUUUGGGAGGCCGAGGUGGACAGAUCACCUGAGGUAGAAGUUCGAGACCAGCCUGGCCAACAUAGCAAAACCCCAUCUCUACUAAAAAUACAAAAAUUAGCCGGGCGUGAUGGCACGCACCUGUAAUCCCAGCUACUCAGGAAGCUAAGGCAGGAGAAUCACUUGAACUUGGGAGGUGGAGGUUGUAGUGAGCCAAGAUGGCGCCAUUGCACUCCAGCCUAGGCAACAAGAGCGAGACUCCAUCUCAAAAAAAAAAAA
This 1179-nucleotide long non-coding RNA is filed under the name Homo sapiens (human). RNAcentral describes it as "HSALNT0343254". The record is from RNAcentral. Lineage: Eukaryota; Metazoa; Chordata; Mammalia; Primates; Hominidae.